GAAGAUAUUUUGGGAUGGAGGGGGGAGGAGAAAUGGUGUGAGGUGGGAGGGAGAAAUCCUCCACAGGAAAGGUAUCAUAAAGAACCACCAAAAUACACGUUUAAAAAGGGGGGGGGGCAUAAAGAGGUUUUAAAGAGGCAAAUUUCAUUCCUAGACCUAGAAUCCAUGGCUUUCUCUAAGGUUAAAUAGGUAUGUUUUUGUUUGUUUGAAGUCCGUAUUACUAGACGAUUGUGCUUCGGAAGUUGCAGGCUCACAUUCUACCCUCUAGAAAGCAGAGAUUUUUCACAUGGCUCAGAAUCCUCUUGGAUACACGGGAGAGACUGGAACAAAUUCUGCGGCAAUGUCCAACCAGUUGGGUUGCAGAUUUGUGGGCCGAUGUGCUGAGUUUGAGUGACACUGAUUCCUUGCCCUCUUAGACGUGUGGGCUCCAACGUCAGGUAGGCGGGUAUCCCCAAGAGGACCCAAGGGCUGGGCGUGCCCUGAGGAAGAAGGGCAGGUAGGUCACUGUUUGGAGGAGCGAAAGCAAACGAGAAGCCACACACUAUUUUCCUAGAUCCCGUGUUGGCCCCUCCAACCAGCAUCGUCUCGGGGGAGGGGGAAAGAGAAGCAGUAGGACACACAGCUCAAACGAAGACGCUGAGGACGCGUUUCCACGUCUAUCUACAUUCACAUCAUCAUCAUCAUCAUCAUCAUCAUCAUCAUCAUCAUCCAGUGUUCUCACCUACAGAGGGAGUACAACAUUCUACCACACGGCCCCAGCGAGCAGGCCGGACCGCACCUAAGCCCCCUCCGGGCACCAUGGCAGAAGGAAGACGGGACCAUGGUGCCCAAAGGACAUUUACACCACCCCACCCCCUCAACCGUGGACCACGAGGCAACAUGACUCUUCCGACAUCAGAAGUAAAAGACAACGUCAGUGAAAUUGGUCUCUAGGUCCCCUGAAGCUAUUAUUAACCAUCAUGCACGAAGGUGGCACCUGUAAAAAAGAAAAUUUCAUAAAUCUGAAAUCCUCUGAAAAAAAAAAAAUCCCAGCAACAGAAGUCAGUACUUCACCUUAAAUAUUUAAGUUUUCUCUUUCUCUAAAAUGGCCUCCAGAAAGCUCAAUGAUUUUUGUUUUAAGGGUUCCUUUUUAAUUAGAAAACUUGAUUCAGAUGGAAGAUAUAAAAAAAUCUGAGAAGGGGAGGU
This is a long non-coding RNA of Erinaceus europaeus (western European hedgehog), 1185 nucleotides long. RefSeq lists it as uncharacterized. The record is from RefSeq and is a predicted model, not a curated record. NCBI's taxonomy places the organism in Eukaryota, Metazoa, Chordata, Mammalia, Eulipotyphla, Erinaceidae. The transcript is spliced from 3 exons.